This 301-nucleotide ribosomal RNA is filed under the name Staphylococcus aureus. Its description in RNAcentral is "partial 23S ribosomal RNA". It matches the Rfam family "Bacterial large subunit ribosomal RNA", at positions 2622 to 2925 of the family's 2925-position model. Lineage: Bacteria; Bacillati; Bacillota; Bacilli; Caryophanales; Staphylococcaceae. The record is from RNAcentral. RNAcentral also lists the same sequence under 1 other name.
UGAGACAGUUCGGUCCCUAUCCGUCGUGGGCGUAGGAAAUUUGAGAGGAGCUGUCCUUAGUACGAGAGGACCGGGAUGGACAUACCUCUGGUGUACCAGUUGUCGUGCCAACGGCAUAGCUGGGUAGCUAUGUGUGGACGGGAUAAGUGCUGAAAGCAUCUAAGCAUGAAGCCCCCCUCAAGAUGAGAUUUCCCAACUUCGGUUAUAAGAUCCCUCAAAGAUGAUGAGGUUAAUAGGUUCGAGGUGGAAGCAUGGUGACAUGUGGAGCUGACGAAUACUAAUCGAUCGAAGACUUAAUCAA